Molecule: ribosomal RNA, 432 nt
Filed under: uncultured bacterium
Lineage: Bacteria
Description: partial 16S ribosomal RNA
Rfam family: Bacterial small subunit ribosomal RNA
Source: RNAcentral
ACGAACGCUGGCGGCAUGCCUAACACAUGCAAGUCGAACGAGACCUUCGGGUCUAGUGGCGCACGGGUGCGUAACGCGUGGGAACCUGCCCUUAGGUUCGGAAUAACUCCCCGAAAGGGGUGCUAAUACCGGAUAAUGUCUUCGGACCAAAGAUUUAUCGCCUUUGGAUGGGCCCGCGUUGGAUUAGCUAGUUGGUAGGGUAAAAGCCUACCAAGGCGACGAUCCAUAGCUGGUCUGAGAGGAGGAUCAGCCACACUGGGACUGAGACACGGCCCAGACUCCUACGGGAGGCAGCAGUGGGGAAUAUUGGACAAGGGGCGAAAGCCUGAUCCAGCAAUGCCGCGUGAGUGAUGAAGGCCUUAGGGUUGUAAAGCUCUUUUACCCGGGAUGAUAAUGACAGUACCGGGAGAAUAAGCUCCGGCUAACUCCGUG